This 57-nucleotide transfer RNA is filed under the name Psoroptes ovis (sheep scab mite). RNAcentral's name for it is "tRNA-Trp". Lineage: Eukaryota; Metazoa; Arthropoda; Arachnida; Sarcoptiformes; Psoroptidae. The record is from RNAcentral.
AAAGCUUUAGGUUAAAAUAAAACUUUAUGUCUUCAAAACAUAAGAUUUUGAGCUUUU